GGCCUUGUAGCUCAGUUGGCUAGAGCGUUGGCUAUACGAAAGCCUUUCCCUUGCUGGCGUGGGUUCGAAUCCCACUGAGGCCA
This 83-nucleotide transfer RNA is filed under the name Schistocephalus solidus. It matches the Rfam family "tRNA". From Rfam's summary of the family: Transfer RNA (tRNA) molecules are approximately 80 nucleotides in length. Their secondary structure includes four short double-helical elements and three loops (D, anti-codon, and T loops). Lineage: Eukaryota; Metazoa; Platyhelminthes; Cestoda; Diphyllobothriidea; Diphyllobothriidae. The record is from Rfam by way of RNAcentral.